UGUCCACAAUAGACCUUAGUUUUCGACGUGUUUUGGUGUGCUGGGGAGUUCUAUUCCGAUUGAAACCGUCCAAAACUGAGGCCAACUGUGAGGCGC
This is a non-coding RNA of Drosophila melanogaster (fruit fly), 96 nucleotides long. Its record names the gene mir-957. Lineage: Eukaryota; Metazoa; Arthropoda; Insecta; Diptera; Drosophilidae. The record is from Ensembl.